This 451-nucleotide ribosomal RNA is filed under the name uncultured bacterium. RNAcentral's name for it is "partial 16S ribosomal RNA". It matches the Rfam family "Bacterial small subunit ribosomal RNA", at positions 354 to 796 of the family's 1533-position model. The record is from RNAcentral.
GUGGGGAAUAUUGGACAAUGGGGGGAACCCUGAUCCAGCCAUGCCGCGUGUGUGAAGAAGGCCUUUUGGUUGUAAAGCACUUUAAGCGAGGAGGAGGCUACCGAGAUUAAUACUCUUGGAUAGUGGACGUUACUCGCAGAAUAAGCACCGGCUAACUCUGUGCCAGCAGCCGCGGUAAUACAGAGGGUGCAAGCGUUAAUCGGCUUUACUGGGCGUAAAGCGCGCGUAGGUGGCCAAUUAAGUCAACUGUGAAAUCCCCGAGCUUAACUUGGGAAGUGCAUUCGAUACUGGUUGGCUAGAGUAUGGGAGAGGAUGGUAGAAUUCCAGGUGUAGCGGUGAAAUGCGUAGAGAUCUGGAGGAAUACCGAUGGCGAAGGCAGCCAUCUGGCCUAAUACUGACACUGAGGUGCGAAAGCAUGGGGAGCAAACAGGAUUAGAAACCCUUGUAGUCC